GUGGGGAAUAUUGGGCAAUGGAGGCAACUCUGACCCAGCAAUGCCGCGUGAGUGAAGAAGGUUUUCGGAUUGUAAAACUCUUUAAGCAGGGACGAAGAAAGUGACGGUACCUGCAGAAUAAGCAUCGGCUAACUACGUGCCAGCAGCCGCGGUAAUACGUAGGAUGCAAGCGUUAUCCGGAAUGACUGGGCGUAAAGGGUGCGUAGGCGGUAAAUCAAGUUGGCAGCGUAAUUCCGGGGCUUAACCGCGGAACUACUGCCAAAACUGGUGAACUAGAGUGUGUCAGGGGUAAGUGGAAUUCCUAGUGUAGCGGUGGAAUGCGUAGAUAUUAGGAGGAACACCGGAGGCGAAAGCGACUUACUGGGGCAUAACUGACGCUGAGGCACGAAAGCGUGGGGAGCAAACAGGAUUAGAAACCCUAGUAGUCC
This 428-nucleotide ribosomal RNA is filed under the name uncultured bacterium. Its description in RNAcentral is "bacterial SSU rRNA". It matches the Rfam family "Bacterial small subunit ribosomal RNA", at positions 354 to 796 of the family's 1533-position model. The record is from RNAcentral.